CCUACGGGAGGCUGCAGUGAGGAAUAUUGGUCAAUGGGCGUAAGCCUGAACCAGCCAAGUCGCGUGAGGGAUGAAGGUUCUAUGGAUCGUAAACCUCUUUUAUAAGGGAAUAAAGUGUGGGACGUGUCCUAUUUUGUAUGUACCUUAUGAAUAAGGAUCGGCUAACUCCGUGCCAGCAGCCGCGGUAAUACGGAGGAUCCGAGCGUUAUCCGGAUUUAUUGGGUUUAAAGGGUGCGUAGGUGGCCUUUUAAGUCAGCUGUGAAAGUGUGUGGCUCAACCAUAGAAUUGCCGUUGAAACUGGGAGGCUUGAGUACAGUUGAGGCAGGCGGAAUGCGUGGUGUAGCGGUGAAAUGCUUAGAUAUCACGAAGAACCCCGAUUGCGAAGGCAGCCUGCCAAGCCAUGACUGACGCUGAUGCACGAAAGCGUGGGGAUCAAACAGGAUUAGAUACCCGAGUAGUC
Molecule: ribosomal RNA, 460 nt
Filed under: uncultured bacterium
Lineage: Bacteria
Description: partial 16S ribosomal RNA
Rfam family: Bacterial small subunit ribosomal RNA
Source: RNAcentral